RNAcentral lists this ribosomal RNA (484 nucleotides) under uncultured bacterium. RNAcentral's name for it is "partial 16S ribosomal RNA". It matches the Rfam family "Bacterial small subunit ribosomal RNA", at positions 30 to 507 of the family's 1533-position model. The record is from RNAcentral.
AUUGAACGCUGGCGGCAGGCCUAACACAUGCAAGUCGAGCGGAUGAAGGGAGCUUGCUCCUGGAUUCAGCGGCGGACGGGUGAGUAAUGCCUAGGAAUCUGCCUGGUAGUGGGGGAUAACGUCCGGAAACGGGCGCUAAUACCGCAUACGUCCUGAGGGAGAAAGUGGGGGAUCUUCGGACCUCACGCUAUCAGAUGAGCCUAGGUCGGAUUAGCUAGUUGGUGGGGUAAAGGCCUACCAAGGCGACGAUCCGUAACUGGCCUGAGAGGAUGAUCAGUCACACUGGAACUUAGACACGGUCCAGACUCCUACGGGAGGCAGCAGUGGGGAAUAUUGGACAAUGGGCGAAAGCCUGAUCCAGCCAUGCCGCGUGUGUGAAGAAGGUCUUCGGAUUGUAAAGCACUUUAAGUUGGGAGGAAGGGCAGUAAGUUAAUACCUUGCUGUUUUGACGUUACCAACAGAAUAAGCACCGGCUAACUUCGUG